Molecule: ribosomal RNA, 113 nt
Filed under: Escherichia coli
Lineage: Bacteria; Pseudomonadati; Pseudomonadota; Gammaproteobacteria; Enterobacterales; Enterobacteriaceae
Source: RNAcentral
CACGGCGGCAGUAGCGCGGUGGUCCCACCUGACCCAUGCCGAAUUUCAGAGUGAAACGCCGUAGCGCCGAUGGUAGUGUGGGGUCUCCCCAUGCAGGCAGGGAACUGCCGGGC